This 497-nucleotide ribosomal RNA is filed under the name uncultured bacterium. RNAcentral describes it as "partial 16S ribosomal RNA". It matches the Rfam family "Bacterial small subunit ribosomal RNA", at positions 28 to 507 of the family's 1533-position model. The record is from RNAcentral.
GAUGAACGCUGGCGGCGUGCCUAAUACAUGCAAGUCGAGCGAACGGACGAGAAGCUUGCUUCUCUGAUGUUAGCGGCGGACGGGUAAGUAACACGUGGAUAACCUACCUAUAAGACUGGGAUAACUUCGGGAAACCGGAGCUAAUACCGGAUGAUAUUUUGAACCGCAUGGUUCAAAAGUGAAAGACGGUCUUGCUGUCACUUAUAGAUGGAUCCGCGCUGCAUUAGCUAGUUGGUAAGGUAAUGGCUUACCAAGGCAACGAUGCAUAGCCGACCUGAGAGGGUGAUCGGCCACACUGGAACUGAGGCACGGUCCAGACUCCUACGGGAGGCAGCAGUAGGGAAUCUUCCGCAAUGGGCGAAAGCCUGACGGAGCAACGCCGCGUGAGUGAUGAAGGUCUUCGGAUCGUAAAACUCUGUUAUUAGGGAAGAACAUAUGUGUAAGUAACUGUGCACAUCUUGACGGUACCUAAUCAGAAAGCCACGGCUAACUACGUG